RNAcentral lists this unclassified non-coding RNA (391 nucleotides) under soil metagenome. Its description in RNAcentral is "partial contains 5.8S ribosomal RNA, internal transcribed spacer 2, and large subunit ribosomal RNA". The stretch from base 1 to 122 matches the Rfam family "5.8S ribosomal RNA", at positions 35 to 154 of the family's 154-position model. The record is from RNAcentral.
GAUGAAGAACGUAGCGAAAUGCGAUACUUGGUGUGAAUUGCAGAAUCCCGUGAACCAUCGAGUCUUUGAACGCAAGUUGCGCCCGAAGCCACUAGGCCGAGGGCACGCCUGCCUGGGCGUCACACGCCGUUGCCCCCCCAUCUACUCCUUCGGGAUUGCGGGGGGGCGGAUGAUGGCCUCCUGUGCGCCUAGCCGCGCGGUUGGCAUAAAUACCAAGUCCUCGGCGACGCACGCCACGACAAUCGGUGGUUGCGAAACCUCGGUUGCCCGUCGUGUGCGUUCGUCGCGCAUCGAGGGCUCGAAAAAAUGCUCGGCUCCGGCUGGGCUUUCAACGCGACCCCAGGUCAGGCGGGGUUACCCGCUGAAUUUAAGCUUAUCAAUAAGCGGAGGA